Molecule: long non-coding RNA, 403 nt
Filed under: Mus spicilegus (steppe mouse)
Lineage: Eukaryota; Metazoa; Chordata; Mammalia; Rodentia; Muridae
Description: lncRNA (ENSMSIG00000019499.1)
Source: RNAcentral
CAUCCCUUGCUAUGAGAUACCCAGUGCCUCGAGACAACAGCAGCAUCAGUAAGAAGACCAUUAUCAGAUCUAGCCCAUAGCCUUGGACUUCCAGAAGGUUGUGAGAUAAGGUGCUAAACACUGGUUCCAAAGUUCACCUGCAAUAACGGCCAGCUAGUUAGCAGCAGACCUUGAACUCCUGCUCAUAUUUGAAGCAAAGUGCUCACUCGGAGCCAGGCACAGUGGGCUCAAAGGCACAUGCGCAGUGUUUGGUGGUACUGAAUAUCAAUGACGGUUCUGUAAAACUUACAACCAGAUCACAACCGUCUACACAGCUACAAGAUCAAGCCUUUGUGCAUAGUUGAUUAUCUGAGAGGAGAGCCAAGGCAUGGGUCAUCUUAAAUAAACCUGCUCCGAACACUCA